GAGUCCACAUUUGGCUAAGCAAU
Molecule: non-coding RNA, 23 nt
Filed under: Arabidopsis thaliana (thale cress)
Lineage: Eukaryota; Viridiplantae; Streptophyta; Magnoliopsida; Brassicales; Brassicaceae
Source: RNAcentral